This 197-nucleotide unclassified non-coding RNA is filed under the name plant metagenome. RNAcentral's name for it is "partial contains small subunit ribosomal RNA, internal transcribed spacer 1, and 5.8S ribosomal RNA". The record is from RNAcentral.
UCUCCGUUGGUGAACCAGCGGAGGGACCAUUACCGAGUUUACAACUCCCAAACCCCUGUGAACAUACCUAUCGUUGCCUCGGCGGUGCCCGCUCCGGCGGCCCGCCAGAGGACCCCCAAACUCUUGUUUUAUACAGUAUCUUCUGAGUAACACGAUUAAAUAAAUCAAAACUUUCAACAACGGAUCUCUUGGUUCUG